Molecule: long non-coding RNA, 3239 nt
Filed under: Triticum aestivum (bread wheat)
Lineage: Eukaryota; Viridiplantae; Streptophyta; Magnoliopsida; Poales; Poaceae
Description: long non-coding RNA (TAES_LNC019031)
Source: RNAcentral
GCAUCCAUUUAAUUAAUCAUCAAGGCAAAGAACUAAAGCAGGCACCAACCCAAACCAAUACAGAAGUAUAUAUUUGACUCCAAACACCUAAAGAAUUGCAAAAGUUCCACUACUAAUCUAAUAAGCAUCUGAAAAAACCCCAUCCCUCAAUCUGGCUACUUCUAACCUAAUCUAAUAAUCAUAUGUGGUCCACCAUUCUUGCACGAAUCAAAUACAGAAAAACCCUAAUGCAGAGAAAACCCUACCUCCAACAAAUCUAACCAAACAAAGUCCUGGCCACAAACCCUACAAUCUAAAAACUACCAACUAAAAGUUAGCCGCAGAUACCUUCUUCUCCGCUUCCUCCUCGCCGGAGCCGGCCUCCACCUUCUCCACCUCGUGCGCCUCGCCAGAGCCCGCCCCCACCUUCUGCGCCUCGCCAGAGCCCGCCUCCACCUUCUGCGCCUCGCCGGAGUUCGCCAGAGCGGGCGCAUCUGGCUGGACCGCGCCAUUGCGGCCCGCCCCCGCCUUCUCUAGAUCUCCAGCGGAGGGAGCACCGCGCUGGAUGCCGGCACGCCCCCUCACAAAGGUGCCCGCAGCGACCUGCCGCGCCUGCUCCACCAGAUCUGCGCCCCAAUCGAGGCGCUCGCCUCCUGCGUCUGCCAUGGCGAUGGAGAGGAUGCGGUGAGGGAGACGAGGAGGUUGGAGAGGAGAGGGAGUGGGGAGUGGAGAGUGGAGAGAGGGAGACGAUGCGGCGGGGGGAAAUGGUGGGCGAUGCGGNNNNNNNNNNNNNNNNNNNNNNNNNNNNNNNNNNNNNNNNNNNNNNNNNNNNNNNNNNNNNNNNNNNNNNNNNNNNNNNNNNNNNNNNNNNNNNNNNNNNCAUGUUGCACUUGCCCACAGCAUAGACAAGUGUUGCAGCAUGUCUCAAGCAACACUGAAGCGCCAUUUGUGAUCAUUGCACCAUCGAAACAACAACUAAACAUGAAGGAAGCAUUCACCACCAAUAAAGUUAAGGCCACACAUAUAUAGAUAGCAUUCUAGGUUACCACCAUAUGUAGCAGGCCGUUCACAAUAGAUCCAGUUCAAACACACAAUACAUUACAUUAAUAUAGCAAGUUUUCAAGCAGUUCAUACCCAGAUGCAGCUUUCCAAAAGUAAAACAUCAUCAAAUAUACUGAUGAUGAGUACGGCUUCCAGCUUCCGAUGAUCAGCAUGAUGUACGACUAGAGGUCAGGGUUUCUCAGGACCUUCAGGAGGGCAAAAUGCUAACCAAUGAUCUUGUAGUCAUGACCGGAGAUCGAUGUAGCCCGGCAAUGCUCCAUCAGAUGCUCCAAUAACCCAGACCUGGGCUUGGGCUUGUUGCAGUAGGGGCACCGGUACUUUUCAUUCCUCAAGUUGUAGUACUUAGCAGGUCCUUGGACCCUGAUCUUCAACACCUCCUUCUCUUUAAAGGACUCGACGUUCCCCUCGACCACAUCAUCUCCAGAUUCAUACUACACACAUUAAUGACUGACAUUAAUACAUUAUGCAUUCAAAAACUAUAAACACAUAAUACUAAAUCAAUGCAGAAAUAACAUUUCAACUAGGCCUUACCUCGUACGGCUCAUCUUCAUCAGACUCAUAUGGGUAGAACCCAGUCUUGUCCCAAUUCCUCUUGUUGCCCAGAAGAUCCUCCUCCUGCUGCUAUAUUGUCAAACAUGCACAUCAAUUACAAUGAAUUGAAUUGCAGUUCACAGAAUGUCAUUACAAACAAAAUUGUGAAUGUGAACCACAUUGGUAUGUUGCAAGUGACCAAAUGCUUUCCUUAUAAAUACAGAAUCUAAGCAAUCAAUCAAUAGAUAAAUGAUGUCCUUCAUAAAUGCUAAUGAAAAUGCAAGCUGGAUUCUUGACAUUCCCUGGAUUAACCCAACACUUUCCUUUUGAGGGAAUUCCCCCCACACUACUUAAUGGAAACAUAUAGUAUAUUUUGUUGCUAGGAUCCUGCCUUGGAAUGUUUACUUCACACUUUACAUAUAGUAUAUACUAAUUAUAGAAGCCAACUACAAAUUUUAAUAUGCACAAAUUACUGUUUUUGGGAUAAUGCAGCAAAGCUCCUACACAUAUUAACAUAAUGCAGUAGUUAAUUAGGUACAACUUCAACUAUAAAUGCAUACAUCUCCAACAAACAUCUAAAAUUUCAUUACUUACCUAAACAACAACAAAUUAUACUAUAGAUGAAUCUUGUACCAUAUAAAUCAAUUCAUUGGCACAUCUUAAUUAAUGCACUCCAAAUCAAAUAUGUUUCCAUCCAGUAUCAUUGAACCACAGAUCAAAUCAAAUAAUCAUAAAUGUCAGCAGCAUUGAACUACAAAUCUAAUAAUCAUAUGACAUCUAUCUGACCUUAAAUAAGGUAUUCAUCCUCAUACUAAUUAAAUUCUAACAAGCAAAAAUUCAACUACUAAUCUAAUAAGCAUCUGAAAAAACCCCAAGAUGCUUUUAUCUCUGAAGCAACGGCAUUGCAGAGGAUGUUCAAUGCUGUCAAUAUCUCUGAAGCAACGACAAAAUUCCACUACUAACCCAAAGUAAAUAAGCAUAGACUGCCCCUUCCCCUCGACCACGCUUCCCCUCUCCUUCAGAAGCCCCAAUCCAGCACAAAAAAAUCCAGCCCUUGAGAAGCUCUUUUUGUUUAACAUGACAACACCCAGUACAUGAGCACAUCCUUCACUAUAUUUACAACCAAACUAAUUCACCAUCUAAUCACCUCACGUACACAAUUUCCAAAAACACAAGGCCAUGCACAACUCAUCUAAUAGCCUCUGCCUGACAGGCAUCAAUCAAGCAUCAAAUAACUGCAACUAUGACAACAUGCAUCAAUCAAGCAUCUAAGAAUUGCAACUAUGACAGCCAUAAUCCCUAGAACUCAGCAUCCAUUUAAUUAAUCAUCAAGGCAAAGAACUAAAGCAGGCACCAACCCAAACCAAUACAGAAGUAUAUAUUUGACUCCAAACACCUAAAGAAUUGCAAAAGUUCCACUACUAAUCUAAUAAGCAUCUGAAAAAACCCCAUCCCUCAAUCUGGCUACUUCUAACCUAAUCUAAUAAUCAUAUGUGGUCCACCAUUCUUGCACGAAUCAAAUACAGAAAAACCCUAAUGCAGAGAAAACCCUACCUCCAACAAAUCUAACCAAACAAAGUCCUGGCCACAAACCCUACAAUCUAAAAACUACCAACUAAAAGUUAGCCGCAGAUACCUUCUUCUCCGCUUCCUCCUCGCCGGAGCCG